AAGAAAUCUAGUUUCAUUUUUUACACGUAGUUCUCUUAGUACCAUUUGCUCAAAAGAUUAUCUUUUCUCCAAAAUGAAUUUUUGACACCAUUGUCAAAUAUCAGAUGGCUAUGAUUUCCACAAACCCAAGACAACAAGAGUCUACAAAAUGCUAGUAGACUGCUUUGUAGAAGAAUCACCUCAAAAGAUAAAUGUGGCAAGCCUCCUUCUGCUGUGCCUAACGAAAGAGUUGCUAAAAGAUAACUGUCCUCCCUGGGAAGAAGGUGAAAAUAUAUCUCCAAAUUCUUAUUAUGGAUCAAACCAAAUUGUAACAAACUAUAGAAGAACAAAAACACCAAAGGAAAGUUAUCAGAAUAGAAUGCUGUCAGCUGCUAUCCUCAGACCAGAACACAUCCAUAGAAGAUGAAUAGAUAAAGUUUUACUUGUUUGCUACAAUUUCAAAAAAGUGAAUUUUACUGUAUUAAAGCCAUCAAAUGAGAAAUUUUUCUUUGUUGCAUUACUAGUUUCAAAUCAGUUGUGUGUGUAUGUGUGUGUGAGCAUGCGCACAUGUGCACACUUCUCUUUUAAAAGCAUAACAUUGGUGAUCAGGAUAUAUGUACAAUUAUCCUUACUUUGUUCUCCACCAUAAUUUUUCUUAUGAAAACAAAAAUUUCAAGAUCUGUUGUUUGCUAAAACUCUGUAGGAUUUUACUUAAAAUCAGCCCCAAUAUUUCUAGUUUCAUUGCAGGAAAUAAAGUUUCAAAGAACAAUCUAUCCUGUUUGGAGCCAUACACAGACAGUUAGAAUUAAAAUGGCAAUGUAUUUGAGACUAAGAAAAAAGAUUUUGCCCUUUAAGAUUACCUGCAUCAUUUCAAAAUUGACAGUUCAAAACAAAGAAAAAUUUGUGUUAAGGGAAAUGAUGUAGAUUUAGCUACCAAAAAUCCAUUCAUUUUGGUCACUUUCCUCAUCAACUUAACAAGUCCUGCAGCAAUCCACAUUGAUCAGGGUUAAAUUAAUAAAUAGCUAGGUUCCAAUCUAUUUAUUUCAUCAAUAUAGCCAAAAGGGGAGUAAAAGAAAAGAAAAAUAAAAAGUAGCCUCUGUUUCAUUCCUUUGUUUUCACUUGCGAUGAAGACCCUUGGAGGAAACUGACACUAGUAUGGCAGUAUGUGUAAACGUGGCUGUAUAACCAAUAUGAUCCUGCAAUUUGUACAUGUGGGAAAAAUAAGAAUUCAUACGCCAUUUGAAUCAACUGUAUGAUAUAUGAUAUGUCAAGAUCAUUGUAAU
Molecule: long non-coding RNA, 1262 nt
Organism: Marmota monax (woodchuck)
Lineage: Eukaryota; Metazoa; Chordata; Mammalia; Rodentia; Sciuridae
Exons: 3
Source: RefSeq, a predicted model, not a curated record